Molecule: ribosomal RNA, 467 nt
Filed under: Streptomyces sp.
Lineage: Bacteria; Bacillati; Actinomycetota; Actinomycetes; Kitasatosporales; Streptomycetaceae
Description: bacterial SSU rRNA
Rfam family: Bacterial small subunit ribosomal RNA
Source: RNAcentral
UCUGGGACAAGCCCUGGAAACGGGGUCUAAUACCGGAUAACACUCUGUCCCUCAUGGGGCGGGGUUAAAAGCUCCGGCGGUGAAGGAUGAGCCCGCGGCCUAUCAGCUUGUUGGUGGGGUAAUGGCCUACCAAGGCGACGACGGGUAGCCGGCCUGAGAGGGCGACCGGCCACACUGGGACUGAGACACGGCCCAGACUCCUACGGGAGGCAGCAGUGGGGAAUAUUGCACAAUGGGCGAAAGCCUGAUGCAGCGACGCCGCGUGAGGGAUGACGGCCUUCGGGUUGUAAACCUCUUUCAGCAGGGAAGAAGCGCAAGUGACGGUACCUGCAGAAGAAGCACCGGCUAACUACGUGCCAGCAGCCGCGGUAAUACGUAGGGUGCGAGCGUUGUCCGGAAUUAUUGGGCGUAAAGAGCUCGUAGGCGGCUUGUCACGUCGGAUGUGAAAGCUCGGGGCUUAACCCCGA